UUAGGUUUGCUGGCUGACACCAGUCAGAAUGGUAGGACUCCAAGUGAUGUGAUGGUCCUAAAAUUGAAUGGAUGAAAUCACCUAGGAAAUGGUCUCAGUAUGUCUUGGGGGUCCAGAGGAAUAAGUUGCAGGUUGGAUGACAAGGAAAUGACCAUGAUGAAUGCUUGAUGAAAUAUGAAGGAUGGUUUAGAAUAUGACUGCUACGGAAAGUGAUAGAAGAUUAUGAUCAGUAUUAUCUUGUAAAGCAAGGAAACCUCCAGGAGAAAAACUUGUAAAGAAAUUGGUGAAACUCAGCUAAAACAAAUCAUCCCAACAUUAACAUAUGAAUAUAAAUUUAUUGUUAACCAUCAAUUAAACAUCUACUAAGUUCUAGGUACUAUCCCUAUAAGGAUGAACCUAGAAGGACAACAAAAAGCUUUAAAGGUGCUUAAAUGGACCUUCAAGGUAUAUUGAAGAAGGAAAAAAUUCUAAAUGGUUGAAAAAGAACAGAGCUACUAUUUUAUCAAAAGAGAUUUAAAAAUAUCAACAGUCCAAAACAUAAGUCUGUUUUAUCUCUAUUCAGUCCUCAUGAGAAUGAAGCAAGAAGAUUGCCCUGUUCAAAAGUCAUCAGUAGCAUCCUUUUACCAGUCAAAGUUUACUGAAUGCAUCCUUCUUAGAACUCCAGUAAUAGUGGAUGAAAUGGAUGACAUGAACCUUACCCUGUUCUCAUAUAAUUGUGAUGUCCUUGUUCAGUUCUUCUUACUUAAGGAUAUGUCAUAUCUAUCUCAAGUCUCCUCUGCCCAGUUUCCUCCAGUUGUGGCAGCAAGGAAUCCCUCCAGGCUGGGGCCCUCACUCCAAGAUUCCAGGGACCACCAGACACUUAGCACAGUAGUACUCCAAAACUGCUUUCAGAGAGCAUUCUCAAAUCACUUUUGCUGUCCUCAGAGAUCGACAAUUCACAGUUAUAUGAUGUUUUAAUUCUAUUUUAUUUGUACUUCACAAAAACCUUAAAUGUAAAUGAAAUCUACAGAUAAUAUUAUCAUCCACAUUUUACUGAUAGUGAAAGAGAGAUGUGAUUUCCUCAGUUACAAAGGUAGUUCAUAAAAGAGACUGGAUUUGAACUGAGGUCUCUGUCUUUCUAACUUCAAGUCCAUUAUUUCAUAUACUCCAC
RNAcentral lists this long non-coding RNA (1150 nucleotides) under Monodelphis domestica (gray short-tailed opossum). RNAcentral describes it as "lncRNA (ENSMODG00000035945.2)". The record is from RNAcentral. Lineage: Eukaryota; Metazoa; Chordata; Mammalia; Didelphimorphia; Didelphidae.